This 86-nucleotide transfer RNA is filed under the name Kapaibacterium sp. (SeqCode). RNAcentral describes it as "Candidatus Kapabacteria bacterium (microbial mat metagenome) tRNA-Leu". It matches the Rfam family "tRNA". From Rfam's summary of the family: Transfer RNA (tRNA) molecules are approximately 80 nucleotides in length. Their secondary structure includes four short double-helical elements and three loops (D, anti-codon, and T loops). Further hydrogen bonds mediate the characteristic L-shaped molecular structure. tRNAs have two regions of fundamental functional importance: the anti-codon, which is responsible for specific mRNA codon recognition, and the 3' end, to which the tRNAs corresponding amino acid is attached (by aminoacyl-tRNA synthetases). tRNAs cope with the degeneracy of the genetic code in two manners: having more than one tRNA (with a specific anti-codon) for a particular amino acid; and 'wobble' base-pairing, i.e. permitting non-standard base-pairing at the 3rd anti-codon position. The record is from RNAcentral. Lineage: Bacteria; Pseudomonadati; Bacteroidota; Eximiradiia; Eximiradiales; Kapaibacteriaceae (SeqCode).
GCCCGGAUGGCGGAAUUGGCAGACGCGCUAUAUUCAGGUUGUAGUAUCCUCCGGAUGUGCAGGUUCAAGUCCUGUUCCGGGCACAA